CAGCAGGGAAAGCAUGAGACUCAAUCCAGAAUGGGCAUUGUAUAGCUUGGAUUACAUCUGUUAAUGGAUGGGUGGGAGAUGAGAACAGGAGGGGAAGUCAGCUGUUGAAUUUUACACACUGCAUGGAAAGUAGGAAAAAAAAAUCAAAUAGCCAUUACCCCUAAUUUAAUUUAAGCCAACAUCAAUCACUUCAUGAGGACUGAAGAGAGAGAGCCCAUCACUGUAUCAGAAAAUCAUGUUAUUAUCAGUUUGCUGUCAUAUCCUAACUUAACAGAAAAAUCAACACGGGGCUUUUAAAGUUGAUAGUUUUUAUUUACAUUUUUGUUGGCAAAGGGCAGUGGGAACGUUUGAAACAUUUUAAACAGAGGGCACCAUAUUGUACUGCGUGAUGUAUCAGUUCACUGUCUGUAUCCUCAGUAUCCAGCUGAUCAAAUAAAGCUAAUCAACAUGUAAAGAAAAGUGAUCUGCAUCAGCUCCUCUAGAGCGUGCUGCCUAAAAGCAAGGCAGGCAGUUUCUAAAUCAACACAAUCACUAUUAAAAAUGCAGUUCUGGUCAAGAACAUUUACUUUUAUUUCAUACUGUACCUGGUAUCAACUUCCCACUUACAUCUGCAUACGGGCAAAGCAGUUACACUCCCUACUUUUAGGGUGAAAUUUAUUAUCUCAUUCUCUGCAAAUUCAGCUGUCAGGUAAUUAUGAACUAUUCUGAGUAUUUUACUGUGAUCAUAGCAAGACUGGAGAUGAGACUGAAGUAAAACAUUCCUGGUAUAUGACGUGCCCAUCAGAAUCAGCCGGGUAACCAUAAACAUCCUGUUUAAGAAAUCUAUUCAAAAAGGAGAAAAAGUGUAGUCAGUUUGCACUUUAUCACAUGGAUUUUAAUUCCCAUUUGAGCUUUUUAAUUCAUUCUUCUAAAUCAAGAGUGUUUAGUUCUUCUUCUAGUUCAUCCAAGUCCUCGCCAGUAAAAAGGUUUUCAUCAACCGGAACUGCAUCCAUUACUCCAUUUUCCAACUCUUCAUCGCCAUCGCGAUCUUCUAAAUCAUUUUGUUCACUGCUGUUUAUCUCACCACCAGAAGCUUCACUGAGUUUGUUAUCAUCUUUUUCUAUUGAAGCAUAUGUGCUGAACCGCUCAGGACUAGCCACAGUAAUGCCAGUUUCAUCUACAGCCUUUGGGACAUACAGACUCAGGUCUACAUCAUUUACGCACACAGGGUCUUCCACCUCAUCAUCUUCUCCCGUUCCUUGGGUGUAGCGAGUGUCGUCUGCUUCUUCAUCAUCGGCAUCAACCAGCUCUGGUCGGAACUCAAAUACUUCACGUCCACUAAUCACCAAUGCCUUGCCAGCUUUAAAAUCUGCUUUCCUCCUUUCCAUAUCUUGCUCUGCCUUAUCAAUUUUUUCUUGUCUUUUUCUUCUCUUCCAUGCAAUAAAACACUCUAAAGUGAUUUUGGUAACAUUUGGUCCUAAGGCAGCACGCUCUUUUUCUAUUAGAUCUUCUAAGGAAAUUUCAUCUUGCUUUUCUUCCUUCUUUUUGUCUUUUUUUAGUACAAAACCUGGAGGAAGAGCAUGGCGAUACAUGCAAUUGUCUCCACCACCUGGACAGACCCAAAACCAUCCGUAUUUGUUGUUUUCAAUAGCAUCAAGAAAAUACUUGCAGACUAUUUGAGUUUUGGGUUUUUUCUUUUCCGCCUCACCGUGCUUCUUGUUCACCACCUCUUCUAGCUUCUUCUCAUCCCAGUUAUCCAUUGUGUCUUUUUCAAGGUCUUCAUCUCUUGCAUCAAUGUACACACUUCGUUUUUCACACUUCCUUUCCAAAGACAAGUCAUGAGAAAACUUGCACUUGUCUCCUUUAGUGCACUGUCCUUGCUUGAAGAAAGCACAAACUACAGAUUUGGGAUCAGCACCUUUGCUAAUCUUCUGUGCAGCAACCACAGGCUUGAAGAGUUCAUUUAAUUCUUGUAGUUCUUUUUUCUUAUCUUCUUUUUUUAAUUUCUUUUCACUUUCUGUUUGAGCGGCCUGACGUGGAUUUUGCUGACCAAAUUUAACCUGGUGAGUCACAGCCUUGAUAAAUUUCUGUUGUUUUGCACCUUUCUUGUUCUUUAGGCCAAAUGUUUUGUCCUCGAUGAUCUUCUCCUUCUUCUUCUGGUCCGCCUUCUUGCUGCUCCCCGCCGGCUGCUGCUGCUUCUUGGGGGGCAUCGCGGGGAGGCGGGGCGGCCGCGGCUCCCGCUCGGAGCCUGGCGGGGACGGACAGACUGCCGGGCCGGCUCCGCGCCGCCGCCGGGAGGCGCAACGCAGCUGGCUCGCGGGGCACGCCGGGACUGCGGAGCGGGGCGCGCGGGGCCGCUCAGCUCCCGGCAGGGCGCGCGGCGCGCGUCACGCGGGCCGUGCUGCGUCAACGGUCCCGCCCUGAGGGAGGGCGUUGGCGGCAAUCCGCGGGCGCCGCCAUGUUGGGGCGUGGCUCGUGUGAGGGGGCGGGACGCGCGCCUUCCCUCCGCCUCUCCCCCGUUCUACGAGAUUCGAUUAGGCAUGGCUGCACGCAGGUGUUGCAAAGCUAGAGGAGAGAAAGGAGUACGUUGAAGAAGGGCGUUCCCGCUCAGCUGUGAGCAGAGAGGUGGGACGGAGCUAAAAUCUGGUGUUGAUCGUCGUGUGAGAGCACCUGAGUGAACCUCCAGCAACGAUAACACUGCGUGGAGGGAGCAGAGACAAAGCACAUAAUGGCGCUUGUGCACGUUUGCAGCUGUAACUUUUGCUGCUGUAUAUAUCUUUUACUUUCUGUCAGGAAAGGAAAGUAACCGAGAGAGAACUGAAAGGAAAAAGACACUUUACCUCAUAUUUCCAUCUUCCCAGUUAAAAAAGUGCAUGCAAGAGAACCUGCAAGCUAAGCAAUCAAGUCAGGGAGAGAAACGCCCCCAGCCGACAGCCAGGUAACAAAGGCACCACCUGCGUGUCCCUGUAUUCCUUCUCCUCAGUUCCACCUGAGAAACUCAUCAUUCCCUGAAGACCGCCCCCCCCCCCAAAAAAAAAACAACUAAGGUACUGCAUUUCACACUGAGACUGGGUAAAGGAAUCUGCUACUGUAUAGAGCUUUCUGAGACACAUGAACCCUAGUUACCAGGGAAGUUGUGCUAAAUACACCAUCCCUUCAAAAUAAGGAGUCUUUUCUGCAAACAGAAAGCACAUCAUACUUCAUGCAUUAGACUGGGGUCAGGUUUAGCACACAAACAGCUACAGCCUGCCCAAGAGCAGACAAGUACUACAAUCAAGCCCACCUUUGAGGCUUACAUUCCCAGGGAGCACCUCUCUGUUGGUGAGCACAGAGUCCUGCAGAGCACCUCUCUUCAUCCACUUGGACAAGUUCUCAUCAAUGCACUCCUGCAAUAUACAUUGCUCCUCCAUCAGAUAUUGGCAUAGGCACAGUUCCUCUUCUUUAAAACAAGAGCAAAGAAACUUUGGAGGUGUGGGGAACUCAUCACCUGCAAUUAUCACAAUCAUCUCUGCUUGUAACCCUUCCUUCUCAAAGAGCUGGAAACAGAAACAUGAAGAAAGCAUUCUGAAGCAUUGGUGGAGUAGCCUGGCUUGUUGAAUGAAGUACAUAAAAUCCAUGCUUCUAUCUCGAUACUGAAAGGUGUCCCUCACUUCAGUUCUCAUUCUGUAACACUGAAGGACAGUGGGAGGCAACCUGUUACAUCUUUUUCAGACCAUCCAUGCAGCAUUGUCUUGAGAACAACUUGAACAUUUCGUUCCUGUUAUCUGUGUCGAAAUCUCCAGAUCACCCCAAACCUCAUAUACUUGCAUAAAAUAAGUGGUGACAGAAGGAAGAGACUGAGAAUUCAGGUGGAGAGAAGAGAGGCAGUUCUUUAGAGUGAGAGAUACGGUUCUAUGGCCAGUGUGAAAAAAAAAAAAAAAACAAAACAAAAAACAGAGAGAAAAUAAAAUUUUCCUCCUAUCUCUGUUCCACUCUCAUUUUAAUACAUCUUCAGACUAAAGCAGUGACAUCUCAUUUUCGACUGAAGACGUUUGGAAAUGGAUCUCCUAAAAAGAUGUCAGCAAACAGGCAAAUAAACACAGAAUGCAUAUCUAAGCUACUGGAUGUUUACAAAAGGUACUGCAGAAGGGAAAAUGUACCAGAUGAAAUGGAAAUUAUUUCAUGAAUCACCUCACGAUUUCACAGAAAUAAGGGAAGUAUUAUUACUGAUUAUUCUCCAUAAAACAAGUUUAAAAACAUACCAUCGUCUAAAAAGGAAAAGUGAAAGGUUUCUAAAUUGGAUAUUUCAAUAUUGCUAAUGAGAACGAAGUGAGCUGAUGAAUGUUGAAUCAUUCCUUGACAGUUUUUAAACAAAUAUUAUCAUUCAUUCUCUUUCCUGCAUCGACAGAUGAUGUUUCUUGUUCAAAUGAGGCUUCCUGACUUUUGAUAAAGGCUGCUGAAAAUAGCACUCCCCUUCCCAAGCUGUAUAUUCACCUCUAGCAUAUACUGACAUACUGACAGGGAAUGAAAAUUUGGGAUGCUCUGCAGUGUUCUGCCCUUUCAUGAAGGGUUUGUCUUGUGUGUGAAGUAUGAUGUACACCAUGGUAUCACUAUAUCACAUUACCCGGUGAUGAAUUUAGAAGCUGCCACUGCUGUCUAAUUCAGCAAUCCAUUUUGAAAUUGAGUAGCCUCUUCUCUCCCUUAAAAGUAGGGCAUCAUUAAAUUAAAGUAACCUAUUGUGUGCAGCAGACUAGGCAAGAAGUGGGUGAUGUUCUCCUGCCUUCAGCUGUCUGUCCCUGCCUGCUGGCUGCUUUCAAAUGGAGGAGACAAGUCUGAUGGGCUGCUUAAACUCGUUCCUUCACUUCCCUCCAUUCUUAGCCUCCACAGAGGGCAGACUUGGGACUGUAAAGAACAGCUGCUUACCUCACUGAUGCUUUAUAUACUGAUUUAAGUGUGUAUAUGCUCACUUUUAUAUCUUGUUUAUUCAUUACUGUGGAAGGCUAUAGGAAGUUGGGGGAAAGUUGCAAGGUACAAGACUGAAAAUGGAUUUUGGAUUUGUGGAGCAGGCUGUGUGUAAGCAAAUGCACUUGGAUUCCGUGCUGGCUUUCUCCCGUUACACAGUUUUUGCAUUGUUCUUGAUCAAAAUGGAUGGAAAAUACUGAGGGUGUUCACUUGGUUUUGCUAUAAUUGCUAUAAACAUUCUAAAUAGUGCUUUGGUUAAUAGUCAGAAGGACAAAUGGGAAGGAAGCCAUCAGGUGGGUAGUCAGGUAGAGACACUUUGUUUGCGUUUACUGUAAGAGCACAUUGGAAAUAUUGUUAAUUUAACAUCAACCAUCUAAAGAUAGCACCAAUUCUAAUUUCAUCAGCAGGUGAGUGUGAAAAAUCGGCCAAUGUUUUCAAUGUAGAAGUGGAAAAAUAAAAAAAUAGAAAGCCAGUUAUGUAUUAAUUGUGAUAGAGCACUAUCUGAAUUUGAAGAGCUAGAAAUUCUGCCCAUUUCAUCGAGACUUGACCUAACAUUUCCCACUGCGAGUAGAAAAUAUUGAUAUAAUGCAUAGGAAUCAUUCUGUUUGUGGUGGGUUUUUGUGGUUGUUUGUCCUUUUCUUUCUUUCUUUUUUUUUACUAGCCGUUGCCCAUAUGGCCAGUUAAUUAUCCUUCUGCAGGCAGAAUUAUUUUAUUUAAUGAAUUUUUAAAUGUCAGUGACGUGAAAAACCAUUACUGUGGUUGUAAGUCCAUUACUCACCUUCAGCUUCUAUUUCCCAUCACCCCCCACUUUAGCUUUAAGGAGCAUCUGAAGUGACAGAGCUUUGAUUUCAGUUGAGAGUGCUGAGCACAGAAGUCUUACAAGUAAUACAUUAUUAAAAAAUCGUAGCAAGAAAAUUAAUUUCUACUAUCGUAUGCCAUGCUGGGUAUAUCACUUCUAACAAAUGACCUUUUUUUUUCAUAUAUUCAUUGGUAGAUUUACCAGGACAAAAUAAUUACUUUGUUUUCCACCUCUAAGAAAAAAAAAAAAGUCUUUUUCUUGUGCGUGUGUGGUUUUCUUGUUUUGUUUUUAAUUGAAAUAAGUACACAAAAUGGGUUCUAUAAGAUAAAAAGAAAAAGGAAAGAAAAAAGAAGGAACUGGAAAACCACACAGAAAUGAGGCACUGGCUCCCUGUCAUGUUGUCUGGUCAGUAAUAUUUCUUACUGUGAAAUUCCUGCAUGUUCGCAUGUUCAUGUUUAAAUCCUCCCAGAGAGAUUUUGCAUUGGAUCCUAGUUGAACUCAAGAAGGUAGAUGGUUAUGCGGUUUCUCAUAUUUCUUGCUUUUGAGAGGAACGUCUGUUUAUCCAGAGAGCCUUAUCUGGGCUUGGCGACGAGCACAUUCCGCAGCCAGAAGAAGGACCAGACAGCUAUACUCUGGACCACCUCAUUUCAGAAUUCUGCUUGAAGCACACUAAAGACUUCAGUGAGACUUUCUGACAGCGUGUGGUAAUGAAACUACCCCAUAAGGAGAUGAAAAACAAGAUAUACUCAAUGGGAGGAGCACAUGCUUGUACUUAAAUUCUUCUGUUUCUCCUUCAGUCAGAUGGGCAAAGGAAAAUGCUGUCCUAUCCCAAGAAAUGCAAAGGCAUAAUCAAGUAUGUCUGUGCCUCUCUUGCCAUUUUGAUAUUGGGAACUCAUCCAGCUGUGAACCAAUAGUCUUAUAUGGAAGAUCAGAACUGCUGCUCCUUCGCUUCUUGAUGUAGGAUCUCUCUAUACACAAGCACUGUGCGCGAGUCUUCCCCUUAAAACUUUGAGCACUGCAUAAAUUCUGCUGGUCAAGAGGCUCAGACUGUGAUUUCAAAAGGAACUCCCGUAUUUGUCAACACGUAGCUGAUGAAUGCUCACAGCUAAGAAGUGGUAUUGUGGAUCCCUUUCAUGACUUAUACCUAUAUUUAGUAAGUAUGGAUGACUAACUAAUCCUUUACUGGGAGCAGCUACUGCAAAAUGUAAGUAAGUGCAGAAAUCACCAUCACUGAAUAAAUACUGUGUUGAGUACAGGACGUGUCUUGCAUUAAUAUUUUUGGCCAUUAGAAAUAUUAGAGCAACAGUAGGUUUUAUCACUAGACUGGUUAUGUGUAACCUGUGUCACCUUCCUUUCUUAUCUUUAAAAAUUUCAAGAUGUGAUUUUAUUUCACAGCUGUGAUAACUGCAGAAUAAUCACACCAAUCACCAAGUUACUUGAAAAUAAGUAAGUAACAACAUGAGACAAACCUUAUCUUUACUACAAAGGCAUGCACAAGUUGCUCUAAAUUCUAGCUGGCACUUUACGCACCAAAAGGCUAAGAACUAUUCAAUCACCCUGCUCUUCCAGAACUUCCUUUACUGACUAAUAUAUUCUGGAGAGGUACCUGUGGGAGGAUUGGAGUGAGCCACUGCCUGCAGAGCUAAAUAACAAGCAUGAACACAAGGUACUCACCUAAACAUCCUCCAUGAAAAUGCAGCUGACACACUUGAGGGACGGGAUGCCAUUCGAAAGAAGCAUGGUGAGCAGGGCCAGGGAGAUGGUCCUGUCCUCUACUCUGCGCUGGCAAGGCCUCACCUGGAGUACUGGGUCCAGAUGUGGCGUCCUUUGUACAGGAGAGGCACUGACCUGUUGGAGUGCAUCCAGAGGAGGGUCACAAAAAUGAUCCAAGGGAUGGAACACGUCUCCUAAGAGGACAUGCUGAAAGAGCAGGGGCUGUUCAGCCUGGAGAAGAGAAGGCUCCAGGGAGACCUGAGAGCAGCCAUUCAUAUCUAAAGGGGAGCUACAGGAAAGAAGGGGACAGACUCUUUAGAAGGGUUUAUUGUGAUGGGACAAGAGGAAGUGGUUUCAAGCUAUAAGGGGAAGAUUUAUACUGGAUAUAAGGAAGAAGUUCUUUGCAAUAAGGGUGGUGAGGCACUGGAACAGGUUGCCCAGAGAGGUGGUGGGAGCCCCAUUCUUGGAGACAGUCAAGGUCAGGCUGGAUGGGGCUUUGAGUACCCUGAUCUAGCUGUAGCUGUCUCCGUUCAUUGCAGGGGUGUUGGACUAGAUGGCCUUUAACGGUCUCUUCCAGCUCAAAAAAAUCCAUUAUUCUGUGAUUUUCACCCAGCCUAGUAUCUUUCCUGACAGGCUGUGUAGCCCGGCAGAUAAAGGAAGCAAAAUUAUCCUUCUUGAAUGUUAGCUCUUGCUUAGCAUCUUGGCAAAACCAGUUGGCAAAUAAACCUUUGUUUGACCUUGGUAUGUUUCUCUGGAAGCUCUGUUUUUCUCCUCUGCACUCCCUUCUUUAAAUAGAAAGAGAGGUCUCGGACCAACAGAGCGCAAAGGAGUCACAGCAGGCACAUGGGGAGGGAGUCUCUGCUUCCUCAGCUCUGGAUACAUCCCAGCCUGACAUGAUUUGUCACCUUGUGUAAUAUAAUUCAGCUUAAGAUAUAAAUUCCUGUAAGCCUUAAGCUGUGCAGCCAGAACGGUGAUAAAGUAACAGAGAAAUGAAGAUUUACAAGACACAUCUAAGGUGUAAACAUGAAUAAAAUAAUCCACACGCGUACAUAGUAAAAUGCUGUAUUCCUAUGCUUGCUUUAUAUUCCCCACACAGUUCGAAGUCUGAUUUACUGCUCCUUACUGAAAACACACUCUUGCUUGAAUAGAAACUUGCUGAAAUUUCACAAUUCUUAUCACUACUCAGGAUUGCUACAAAUUUGAUUCAGUUUGGGUUGGUUUGCCUUAGAAAUUUCUUCUGUGGGAACAGAACAUUUGCACAAGUCGUAUACCCC
Molecule: long non-coding RNA, 8706 nt
Filed under: Gallus gallus (chicken)
Lineage: Eukaryota; Metazoa; Chordata; Aves; Galliformes; Phasianidae
Source: RNAcentral